GCUUGAUAAUUACAGCACAAAAUAAAAUAGUUAAGUGCAACUCAUUUGGGUCACAGAAAAGUUUAGCAGCAUCUUGAAACACUUAGCAAAAUCUCAACGAAGAAUAAAUACACAGAUUGUAUACAGGAGCUCUAUUAAUCAAGCUGAGCAUACCAGAUCCCCUGGAUCUUGACGUCCUUAGGAGUCUUUGCUCCCAGAUCAGUAUCAGAUGGCUGAAGACUCUCAAACACUCCUAUGAUCUCUCCAGUCUCAGGCUUGCUCUUGGUCACACUUAGGGUGAUUUUACCUGUUGAUGAUGCGGUGUUCUUGAUGUUUUCCUUGAGUAGUUCCUCCUCAUCUCCUCUGCCUCCAGCAGGCAAUGCAACUGCAUUGUCAUAACCGGUUGAGCCACCUCUUCCCUUUGGGUCCAAGAAAGAUGAACCUCGGUAGGAUGGUACAAGGAACUCUCCACUGAAGCUCUCUGGUUUUCCUGAUGCUGCUAAUUGUUUAAUGG
RNAcentral lists this long non-coding RNA (493 nucleotides) under Populus trichocarpa (black cottonwood). RNAcentral describes it as "long non-coding RNA (PTRI_LNC001499)". The record is from RNAcentral. Lineage: Eukaryota; Viridiplantae; Streptophyta; Magnoliopsida; Malpighiales; Salicaceae.